Molecule: ribosomal RNA, 474 nt
Filed under: Triticum aestivum (bread wheat)
Lineage: Eukaryota; Viridiplantae; Streptophyta; Magnoliopsida; Poales; Poaceae
Description: partial small subunit ribosomal RNA
Source: RNAcentral
AUGAGGAGGAGGAAUUGGCUGGGGAACCCUGUGUGUUCCUUCUGUAACCAUAUUGAAACUGCGUCCCACUUAUUCUUUACGUGUCCUGUGGCGCGUGUUGCCUGGAGGGCAGUUGGAGUUGUGCUAGGGACUGACUUAUGUCCAAAUAACAUCUGGCAAUUCUAUGUGUGGUGUAACAUGUUCCUACCCAAUGAAACCAGAUUUUAUGCUAUUGGUUUGGCGGCAGUAACUUGGGCUAUUUAGCUUGCGCGAAAUAAGGCUACUUUUGAAAAGCAUUUGAUCAAAUCUCCUUUUGAGAUUGUGUAUUCGGCUUGUUUGUUUCUCUUGUAUUGGGCAGGUCUUCAGCCGGUGGAAGAAGCGUCAAGGUUGCGACUCGGAGCUGAGAUGAUUAGAGCAAGCACAACCAAGUUGAUGGCGAUGUGUGAAGGGGCUAGGCGUGCCACGGGAGACAAGGGUGAGGUGUUCUCUGGAUGA